UCCAGAGGUCCCAAGCGUUACUGAGAAUCACUGGGUUUAAAGGGUGCGUAGGUGGUCCGUUAAGUCAGUUGUGAAAUCCCCGGGCUCAACCCGGGAACUGCUUCUGAUACUGGCGGACUUGAGGCCGGUAGGGGUCACUGGAACUGACGGUGGAGCGGUGAAAUGCGUAGAUAUCGUCAGGAACGCCGGUGGUGAAGACGGGUGACUUGGCCGGUUCUGACACUGAGGCACGAAAGCGUGGGGAGCGAACGGG
Molecule: ribosomal RNA, 253 nt
Filed under: uncultured bacterium
Lineage: Bacteria
Description: partial 16S ribosomal RNA
Rfam family: Bacterial small subunit ribosomal RNA
Source: RNAcentral